RNAcentral lists this long non-coding RNA (461 nucleotides) under Mytilus galloprovincialis (Mediterranean mussel). Lineage: Eukaryota; Metazoa; Mollusca; Bivalvia; Mytilida; Mytilidae. The record is from RNAcentral.
AAAAAAACAAGAAUGUGUCCAUAGUACACGGAUGCUCCACUCGCACUAUCAUUUUCUAUGUUCAGUGGACCCUGAAAAUUGGGGUUAAACCUUUAAUUUGGAAUUACAAUUAGAAAAAUCAUAUCAUAGGGAACAUGUGUACUAAGUUUCAAGUUGAUGUAACUUUAACUUCAUCAAAAACUACCUUGACCAAAAACUUUAACCUGAACUUCGUUCUAUCAUUUUCUAUGUUCAGUGGACCACGAAAUUGGGGUCAAAACUAUAAUUUGGCAUUAAAAUUAGAAAGAUCAUAUCAUGGGGAACAUGUGUACUAAGUUUCAAGUUGAUUGGACUUCAACUUCUUCAAAAACUACCUUGACCAAAAACUUCAACCUGAAGCGAACGGACGCACAGACGGACGGACGAACGAACGAACGGAGGCACAGACCAGAAAACAUAAUGCCCCUCUACUAUCGUAGGUG